This 582-nucleotide long non-coding RNA is filed under the name Jatropha curcas. RNAcentral's name for it is "long non-coding RNA (JCUR_LNC000246)". The record is from RNAcentral. Lineage: Eukaryota; Viridiplantae; Streptophyta; Magnoliopsida; Malpighiales; Euphorbiaceae.
AAAAUAUUAUUUUCUCUUAAAUUUACAAAAACAUGAAUAUAAUUCAUAUGGUACUUAGCGUUGUAGCACAAAGUUUCCCUUGUUUAUCAAGUGCAAUGAUAAACACCAGGAGGUUAUGUGUUUCCAGCUGAUAUACCAAAGAAUUUUAAUUUAAACAGUAUCUGUUUAAAGAUGAACAGUAUCCGUUUUAAUUUAAACAGUGAAUGAACAGUAUAUGUUUAUGAACAAACAAGAACAAUAUUUCUGAUGUGGAAGAUCACACGAAGGUGCAACCACAGAGCAUACUUAUAAAUUUACAAACUAAUAUUUAUCAAUUAACUCAACCAAAUUUUAAUUAUUUGAUUUUAAUUAAGGUUGAGGGUUCCUGCAACCUUAGCCUGGGAUCCCCAGAACUAAGUCAGAAUGUGGAGGGAGAAGAGAAAGAAGCCUUUAACAGGGCUUAGUAGUAGCAAUUUAUAAAUUUAAAUAAAUAAAUUUAUUUAAAUAUGAAAUUCAAAUUUAAACUUACAAGUUUAAAGUUUACAAUCCAGACUUCGAACGUUGAAUGCUUACAAAGAACUUUGGGGGAGAGGAUGAGAGAGU